Molecule: long non-coding RNA, 459 nt
Filed under: Nicotiana benthamiana
Lineage: Eukaryota; Viridiplantae; Streptophyta; Magnoliopsida; Solanales; Solanaceae
Description: long non-coding RNA (NBEN_LNC023393)
Source: RNAcentral
UCCAUGAGGAUGAUGAUUUGUACCCUUCCCUUGGUUCUUCUCUUGCCGCGGUAGGAAGUGAGAAAUUUCAGCGGCCAAGCCCUUCAUAGCAUCCAAAACUUCUUUAGUGGGUAAAGUAUUAAACAUCUCCAACCAGACAGAACAGGUGGUAUAAAUAGGAGGGCCAUAGUUUCUGAGUGGCGGAGGUUGCAACCUUCUUUUAUUUCUCCUGGAUGAUUGCUGGCGGAGGAAAACCUCUUUAGUGGGUAAAGAAUCAAACAUCUCCAACCAGACAGAACAGGUGGUAUAAAUAGGCGGGCCAUAGUUUCUGAGUGGCGGAGGUUGCAACCUUCUUUUAUUUCUCCUGGAUGAUUGCUGGCGGAGGGAGACACACUGGUCGAGCCACUUAUUUAUAGCAUCCACGUAUGCCUUCUGAGCAACAACCCACUUUGUAAAGCUUGAAGAAAGCGAACUCAAUUG